ACACGCUCCCCCACCUGCUUCACGGCGCCGGGCCACCUCGGCUCCAUCCCGCACCGAAACGCACCGCCGGUGUCCUUAGCUCCGCCACGCUAGACAAGCCGUCACCGGACUGCCUUGGUGCGUCGUCGGCCAUGCGGGCAUCUGCGGCCCUCAGCAUCUUCUUCGUCGCCGGCGUCCGACGAGCCCCGCAUCCUUUCAUCCCCGUAUCAGCUAUUUGGUGGGCUUAGACGAAGUGAAACUCGAUUAGUGGAAGUGUAUGUUGUUUGUCAAGAUCAUGUUAGUGCUGAAGCAUUCGGAGUUCAAGACUGAUUAUGAUCAAGUGAUUGAAGUGCUUGUCAAAACAGUGCACUUAUUAUAGAAAGAAAGGAGAAGUUCUUUUUACUUUAGCGCAAGGAUGUUGACGAGAUGAUCUUCACACCGUGUUGGCUAAAUAGGACAGAAUAAAAUUAUCAAAGUGGUGUAAUAAAAAUAGCACAAGUGUAAUUAAUUGCCGUGUCUUUGUUCCAUUAAUUUCUUGAUUUUACAGCACAUUAUGCCACCAUAUGUUUGGUACCUGGAUACUUACAUAUCUGGAGACUUUUUGUUACCUGCCUACUACGUAGUAUUAAAUACAGAUAGAUUCUGUAUUAUUUUUA
Lolium rigidum is the source of this 635-nucleotide long non-coding RNA. RefSeq lists it as uncharacterized. The record is from RefSeq and is a predicted model, not a curated record. The transcript is spliced from 2 exons. Lineage: Eukaryota; Viridiplantae; Streptophyta; Magnoliopsida; Poales; Poaceae.